Molecule: long non-coding RNA, 293 nt
Filed under: Zea mays
Lineage: Eukaryota; Viridiplantae; Streptophyta; Magnoliopsida; Poales; Poaceae
Description: long non-coding RNA (ZMAY_LNC003945)
Source: RNAcentral
GCGGCGCGGCGCGGCGCGAUGAUACAGCUGCUCUUCACGCUGCUAGCGGCGGAGGGCGCCGUGGCGGCGGUGCUACUCUUCAAGACGCCGCUGCGGAGGCUGGCCGUGCUCGCGCUCGACCACCUCAAGCGGGGCCGCGGGCCCGUCAUGGUGCGCACCAUCGCGGCCACCGUGCUUGUCGUGCUCGCAUCCAGUCUCCACAGCAUGGCCAAGAUCCGCGGCCACGCCGAGGGGGAGCUCGACGGCUCCGGGGUCGUGGGGCUCACCCCCACCGACCAGGUCCUUCUUGCGCG